RNAcentral lists this ribosomal RNA (497 nucleotides) under uncultured bacterium. RNAcentral describes it as "partial 16S ribosomal RNA". It matches the Rfam family "Bacterial small subunit ribosomal RNA", at positions 28 to 507 of the family's 1533-position model. The record is from RNAcentral.
GAUGAACGCUGGCGGCGUGCCUAACACAUGCAAGUCGAGCGGACGGACGAUGCUUUUGCUUUGCUUCUGCUAGGGGCGGGCGGGUGAUUCCCACGAGUAUACCCUACCUAUAAGACUGAGAUCACUUCGCGAACCCGGAUCUCACACCCGAUAAGAUUUUGAACCUCGUGGUUCUUCGGUGCGCUCCGGUUUUGCUGUCACUAGUAGGGGGAUCCUCGCUGCAUUAGCUAGUUGGUACGGUAACGGCCUACCAAGGCUACGCUGCGUAGCCGACCUGAGAGGAUGAUCGGCCACACUGGAACUGAGACACGGUCCAGACUCCUACGGGAGGCAGCAGUAGGGAAUCUUCGGCAAUGGGCGAAAGCCUGACGCAGCAAUGCCGCGUGUGUGAAGAAGGUCUUCGGAUCGUAAAGCACUGUUAGUAGGGAAGAACAGCUGUGUAAUAAAACGUGGCCAUUUUGACGGUACCUAAUGAAUAAGCACCGGCUAACUACGUG